UUAGUUCACAGACUCGGGUGUCCAUGUGGCUU
RNAcentral lists this non-coding RNA (32 nucleotides) under Homo sapiens (human). The record is from RNAcentral. Lineage: Eukaryota; Metazoa; Chordata; Mammalia; Primates; Hominidae.